Molecule: long non-coding RNA, 661 nt
Organism: Tupaia belangeri chinensis (Chinese tree shrew)
Lineage: Eukaryota; Metazoa; Chordata; Mammalia; Scandentia; Tupaiidae
Exons: 2
Source: RefSeq, a predicted model, not a curated record
AGAGAGUCCUAUAGGGGGAUGCAAGAUCCCUCACACAUUGAAAGGGGGAGAAAAGCAGGCGGAAUUCUUCCUUGCUGGGUUAUCCCUCCUUCCUGAAAUGAAUGGGAUCUACAAGGCUCUCAGGAGGUGAAGUCAAGGGCUCUCAGACUCAUAAGGUUCUUAGAACAGUGGACUGCAUACCAAAGAAAAACUUCGAGGACACUUGCAACACACCAACAAGUUGAAAAGGGAUAAGAAACCUUCAACAAUCAUCAGCCCAAGCACCAAGCUAAGGGAACUUUCUAACCUGUGCCGGCAGAUUGGCAGCUGGAUGAGGACCUGCUGUGGAUGUCUAGAGAGUGAAAGUUAAGUACCAGCUCAGAUUGUUGUGCCCUCAAUUUCUUGUUGCAUUUUUUUUCUUUUUUGAUCAUAAGCAUCAAACUGUGUAUCUCUGUCUAAAAGUUCUUCUAGCAAUUUGUUUUAAGGUGAAUGCAUUUAGGGUUAAGGGAAGAGAAGGGAACUCCUGGAGAAGUAAAAAGAAAGAAAUGCCAAUUGGAGAAUAAGAUUAUUUUGAAUGACUUCAAGUCACAAGAGGAGUGUUUGUAAGUGUGUAUUUGUAAGUACUUAUGCCCCAGGGUCUCUAGGCUAGUAUCAGUGAGGGGAGGGGUUAUUGAAGAAGAAA